AUGGUGGGAAGAGGAAAGGGACAGAGUGGUAGGGAAGGGGAAAGGGAGAGAUGGAGGGAAGAGGAAAGGGACAGAGUGGUAGGGAAGGGGAAAGGGAGAGAUGGAGGGAAGAGGAAAGGGACAGAGUGGUAGGGAAGGGGAAAGGGAGAGAUGGUGGGAAGAGGAAAGGGACAGAGUGGUAGGGGAGGGGAAAGGGACAGAGUGGUAGGGAAGGGGAAAGGGACAGAGUGGUAGGGAAGGGGAAAGGGAAGAUGGUGGGAAGAGGAAAGGGACAGAGUGGUAGGGAAGGGGAAAGGGAGAGAUGGUGGGAAGAGGAAAGGGACAGAGUGGUAGGGAAAAUGGACGAAGGAGAAGGAAAGGCAUUCCUAAAGCCUGAGAACUACAGGUAGACCUGUACCUGUGGUUAGAUACACUGUUCUACAUUAUAAACACUCAAUCACACACACAAUGUUGGAUAUACUACAUUAAUUGGCAUGGACCUGUUAUUAUAGUCCAUUAAUAACACACACACACACACGGGUAAUUCUCACGAAACUGUAAUAAAAAAAUACAUUUAGUCAUUUUUCACAAAAUGUCCUCUUGAAUAACUGAGAUUAGGAUCUAUAUGUAUCUAUUUCAUACUUAUUAUUAUUUUUUAUUAGAUAUUAUGCAUUCUACCAACGUUUUCACAAAAUUCUCAUUCGUUUUUGAAGUCCAAAAAAGUUAAAUCAAUAUUUCUAAUAUUUUUUAACAUUGCUCCCCUAAUGAAAAUGCCUGAGUUAAACAUAACACUGAAAAUACAAUUAUUAUAAAAUGAAAAUCAGACUUUUCCCCAAUUUGAGCUCUUUAGCUGUUUUCUAAGGACUACUCUAGAUGAUGCAUCAUGGGUGAAGAAAUGUUUAUUUCAAAGCUGGAGUUUUAUAGGAACUUGGUAAUGAGACAUAUCCACAGACACUGCUUGUAUGUAAUAAAUAUUAUAGUUUAAUGUAAACUUCAACUAGUAUACCAUUUUUAUAAUUUAUGGAGAAACUACAGCAACAUAUUUUGUUUUAUUUAAACAAGUUAGGUUUUUUUAAAGAUGUAUUUUUAUAAAAUUACCAUGAAUUUAAUCAGUACGCAUUUCAGUAAUGAAAAUGUAUUUUUCAUUAUUUUUUUACAUGACACUUUCCCCUAAAACUAGACAUCUUAGUCCUCAGAAUGAUAUCAUGCACCACCCCACACACACACAAGUUAAGGAAUUGCAUUGGGAACGUCUGUGUGAUUUCAGUCCCUCUAAAAGAGUGUUCAAAAGGAUGUGAAUGGAAGAGAGGACAGAAUGAUGAGAAUGAAGGGAAGAAUAGAAGGAAGGGGAGAAGGAAGAAGAGAAGGAAGGGGAGAUGGGAGAAGGAAGAAGAGAAGAAAGGGGAGAAGGAAGAAGAGAAGGAAGAAGAGAAGAAAGGGGAGAAGGAAGGGGAGAUGGAAGAAUAGAAGGAAGGGAAGAAGAGAAGAAAGGGGAGAAGGAAGAAUAGAAGGAAGAAGAGAAGGAAGGGGAGAAGGAAGAAGAGAAGGAAGGGGAGAAAGUGUGAUGCUGCUUCUAGUAUGGCUCUUCUUACUGUACUCAUGUGCCUUACAGCCAGACUAUGGUGCUUUUACCUUAUUCUGUUAUUUUUCACUUACCUUGUUGUUGCUCAACCUGCUAUAAGCAUGUUUUGUCCAUGUGCCUUUAUGUCCAAUACUCCAGUUGCCAUGAAAGACAGACUUUAGAAAAGAGACACAACAAGAUUUAACCUACUGCACUGUAUGGACCUUGAUUUGAGGGCCUGUUAAUAAACUGCUUUAUUGAAUGGUUAAUAAACAAUUUAAUAAUGUAAACUGGUUCAUAAACAAUGUAAUCAUGUUUAUAAGCAUCUUAUAAGCAGUCCUUCAAACAAAGUGUUAAAUCGUUUUGGGGGUAUAUUGAGAUUCUGCGGAUUCUGAAUGAUGCUCUCCUUCCUCUGCUGAUGACAUGUUUAUGUGCCAGUGGUAACGCUCUGUCUGUAGACACUCUCCGUUGACAUUGGAGAGGAAAAGACUUGUUAUCAAACAGUUUUAUCAUGUUUUCGCUCUGUAUGUGCGUGACUAUUUUCAGUAUAUCUUCUGAGUGUCAUUGACAUGUUACCAAGGUCACACAGGCAGAACUUUAUUUUCAGUAUAUCUUCUGAGUGUCAUUGACAUGUUACCAAGGUCACACAGGCAGAACUUUAUUUUCAGUAUAUCUUCUGAGUGUCAUUGACAUCUUACCAAGGUCACACAGGCAGAACUUUAUUUUCAGUUUAUUUCAAUAGUUUUUGCAAAACAAAAAUUGCCAUUGUAAAUGUAAAGGCAAAAAACAACAGUCCAGCCAGUCAGGAUCCCAAAUAGAAUGUCAAUAAUUCAGAUUUUUUUUAAAGCAAUAUUUGAACUGUUUUCCAGUCUAGACCAGUUAAGACCAGUAUGGACCAGUUGUGGUUUCAUUGCAGUGUGGUAUGAUGCAUGUCAUCGACUAGAGAUGCAUUCAACUCCGCUAACGAUUAUAAAGCUCCCAACUCUGAGCGCCCACCAACAAUCCAACUCACCAAGAAUGUUCGACAACAGGAGCAAACUCUUCUAUUCUAUUGAAAACACUUGAUUGUGUACUCUUUCUUCAACAAUGACGAAAGUUUUCUGCAAAUGUUUGCAGAGUUGAAUGCCAGUCUGGUUUGGUCCAGUCCAAUCUGUUUCUGGGCAUAAUGAUCCAGUAGAAUCCUGACCCACACUGAUGAUAUCAUGCAUCAUGAUGGAUAUUCAUUGGGGGCCUGGAUUGGUUGGUCAGAACAGGACAUUUCUUCUCAGGAGACUGGAAAGGGCCAUUGUAAUUUAGGCUUUAUUUAGCACAGAUUUUUUUAGGCCAUACUGCCCCGGAUUAGAUUAUCCCGUGUGUGUGGUAUGUGUUUUUCUGUUAUUCUAGAGUGAUUUGAGGUAUGAUUCCUAUGAGAAACAGGUUUACAGUCAUGUUUCAUGUUUGACAUCAUUGUUUCAGAAAAGUUAGGAUUUUUCUUGAGUUUGGAUUUUAGCAACUCAAUUGCUCAGUAAGCAAAAAUAUGAUCCAUGGAACAAUGGAAGUGUUGUAUUUUUAUCAUUAUAUAUUUUCAAUUGUUGUUGUAUGUUAAGUGCCUUAUCUGUAAUGUAUGGGAUAGCCUACCCUCUCACCUUUCUACCUUCUUCAGCUCCUCUCAUCCUCAUUCAUCCUUUCUCCCUCUUUCUUCUGCUUCUUAUUGUUCCCCACUCCUACUCAUCCAUCUCCUCCCUCAUUCUGAGAUCCUCCCCUCAGCCUUUCACAUCCCCACUCCAACCCUCGUUCAUUUGUACUAACCUUGACCAAUCUUCCUCUCUUCCCCCGUCGCUUUGGAAAAACAACAGUCACGUAAUUACAGUGUUAUUUUUAUGUGUGUAUUAUGAUGCUUAAGUAUUAUCAUUAAUAAUAAAAACAACGAUCAUGAAUAACUACGCCAAACCUGUCUACUCCAAUGUUUGUUUUACACACUCAAAUUAUGAAGUUCUCCUCACUGAUCGAUAAUGGGAGAGUAUCUACAG
This is a long non-coding RNA of Oncorhynchus tshawytscha (Chinook salmon), 3549 nucleotides long. NCBI's taxonomy places the organism in Eukaryota, Metazoa, Chordata, Actinopteri, Salmoniformes, Salmonidae. The record is from Ensembl.